GCACUGCUGAUGAGACCCAAACUAGUCGAAACAGCUGUCUAGUGC
This 45-nucleotide non-coding RNA is filed under the name Echinostoma caproni. The record is from RNAcentral. Lineage: Eukaryota; Metazoa; Platyhelminthes; Trematoda; Plagiorchiida; Echinostomatidae.